AGAGUUUGAUCAUGGCUCAGAUUGAACGCUGGCGGCAGGCCUAACACAUGCAAGUCGAACGGUAACAGAAAGAAGCUUGCUUCUUUGCUGACGAGUGGCGGACGGGUGAGUAAUGUCUGGGAAACUGCCUGAUGGAGGGGGAUAACUACUGGAAACGGUAGCUAAUACCGCAUAACGUCGCAAGACCAAAGAGGGGGACCUUCGGGCCUCUUGCCAUCGGAUGUGCCCAGAUGGGAUUAGCUUGUUGGUGGGGUAACGGCUCACCAAGGCGACGAUCCCUAGCUGGUCUGAGAGGAUGACCAGCCACACUGGAACUGAGACACGGUCCAGACUCCUACGGGAGGCAGCAGUGGGGAAUAUUGCACAAUGGGCGCAAGCCUGAUGCAGCCAUGCCGCGUGUAUGAAGAAGGCCUUCGGGUUGUAAAGUACUUUCAGCGGGGAGGAAGGGAGUAAAGUUAAUACCUUUGCUCAUUGACGUUACCCGCAGAAGAAGCACCGGCUAACUCCGUGCCAGCAGCCGCGGUAAUACGGAGGGUGCAAGCGUUAAUCGGAAUUACUGGGCGUAAAGCGCACGCAGGCGGUUUGUUAAGUCAGAUGUGAAAUCCCCGGGCUCAACCUGGGAACUGCAUCUGAUACUGGCAAGCUUGAGUCUCGUAGAGGGGGGUAGAAUUCCAGGUGUAGCGGUGAAAUGCGUAGAGAUCUGGAGGAAUACCGGUGGCGAAGGCGGCCCCCUGGACGAAGACUGACGCUCAGGUGCGAAAGCGUGGGGAGCAAACAGGAUUAGAUACCCUGGUAGUCCACGCCGUAAACGAUGUCGACUUGGAGGUUGUGCCCUUGAGGCGUGGCUUCCGGAGCUAACGCGUUAAGUCGACCGCCUGGGGAGUACGGCCGCAAGGUUAAAACUCAAAUGAAUUGACGGGGGCCCGCACAAGCGGUGGAGCAUGUGGUUUAAUUCGAUGCAACGCGAAGAACCUUACCUGGUCUUGACAUCCACGGAAGUUUUCAGAGAUGAGAAUGUGCCUUCGGGAACCGUGAGACAGGUGCUGCAUGGCUGUCGUCAGCUCGUGUUGUGAAAUGUUGGGUUAAGUCCCGCAACGAGCGCAACCCUUAUCCUUUGUUGCCAGCGGUCCGGCCGGGAACUCAAAGGAGACUGCCAGUGAUAAACUGGAGGAAGGUGGGGAUGACGUCAAGUCAUCAUGGCCCUUACGACCAGGGCUACACACGUGCUACAAUGGCGCAUACAAAGAGAAGCGACCUCGCGAGAGCAAGCGGACCUCAUAAAGUGCGUCGUAGUCCGGAUUGGAGUCUGCAACUCGACUCCAUGAAGUCGGAAUCGCUAGUAAUCGUGGAUCAGAAUGCCACGGUGAAUACGUUCCCGGGCCUUGUACACACCGCCCGUCACACCAUGGGAGUGGGUUGCAAAAGAAGUAGGUAGCUUAACCUUCGGGAGGGCGCUUACCACUUUGUGAUUCAUGACUGGGGUGAAGUCGUAACAAGGUAACCGUAGGGGAACCUGCGGUUG
RNAcentral lists this ribosomal RNA (1522 nucleotides) under Escherichia coli. Its description in RNAcentral is "bacterial SSU rRNA". It matches the Rfam family "Bacterial small subunit ribosomal RNA". RNAcentral also lists the same sequence under 2 other names. Lineage: Bacteria; Pseudomonadati; Pseudomonadota; Gammaproteobacteria; Enterobacterales; Enterobacteriaceae. The record is from RNAcentral.